CAUGGUAUCAGAGCGGGAUGAUCCUCGGAUUCUUCUCCGUUACUUGUUAUCGAUCGUGUUGGAAGUUUUAUUAAAGUUUUUUUUGGAUAUUUGUGAGAGAUUCUGUUUACCGAGAGAACGAUGUAUAUUGAACGGAUAAUCGGAACUUUUACUACUGUUUGAUGCUUCAAUCUUUACUCAGUGGAUGUUUUGGGUGAUUUUCCGACAUCCCUGACCUUUUUCCGGUGACUUUCCAGAUUCUAGGGUUUCUGGUGGUUGAACCUAGGGUUUUACUGCUAUCCGAUGGCUCGAUCCUUACUCGGUGGAUGUUUUGGGUGAUUUUCCGAUGUCCCUGACCCUAUUCCGGUAAGUUUUGUGGUUGGACCUAGGGUUUUAUUGCUAUCCGAUGGCUCGAUCCUAACUCGGUGAAUAUUUUGGGUGAUUUUACGACGUCCCUGACCCUAUUCCGGUAAGUUUCCAGACCCUACGAUUUUCCGGUGGUUGAACCUAGGGUUUUAUCUGGCGAUUGAAGGCCGUUCUUCUCCGGUCGCGAAGAAGGAGGGCAACUCUAUCCCUGUUCUAAGUGUUGUAUGUUUUGAAUGUGGGUUCUGAUUCAGCUUUAGCCUCUUUACUGAGACUGUUUUUUGAUUUUAAACUGGAUAUUGUUCAUGACUUCUAAUAUGAAUGUUAAUACCUCCUCAGUGGACUCUACCAGCCCCCUUUUUGUUUACUCCUCUGAUGUUCAUGGAGUUUCUCUUGUUCCACUCCGUUCUACAAGAAAUAGUUAUGGGGGUUGGAGGAGGAAAAUGAUUGUCGCGCUGUCUGCUAAAAAUAAAAUUGGCUUAGUUGAUGGCACAUGUCCCCGGCCAGUCACUAAUGUGGCUGUGCAGUGGUUAUGGGGGUUGGAGGAGGAAAAUGAUUGUCGCAUCUGCUAAGAACAAAAUUGGUUUUGUUGAUGGCACAUGUCCCGGCCAGUCACUAAUGUGACUGAGCAAAGACUAUGGGAUAGAUGCAAUAAUAUGAUAAUUUCCUGGUUAACUGCCUCCCUGUCCCCUCAAAU
Molecule: long non-coding RNA, 1039 nt
Filed under: Nicotiana benthamiana
Lineage: Eukaryota; Viridiplantae; Streptophyta; Magnoliopsida; Solanales; Solanaceae
Description: long non-coding RNA (NBEN_LNC007168)
Source: RNAcentral